This 473-nucleotide ribosomal RNA is filed under the name uncultured bacterium. Its description in RNAcentral is "bacterial SSU rRNA". It matches the Rfam family "Bacterial small subunit ribosomal RNA", at positions 335 to 799 of the family's 1533-position model. The record is from RNAcentral.
ACUCCUACGGGAGGCAGCAGUGGGAAGUAUUGCACAAUGGGGGAAACCCUGAUGCAGCCAUGCCGCGUGUGUGAAGAAGGCCUUCGGGUUGUAAAGCACUUUCAGUAGGGAGGAAGGUAGUGUAGUUAACACCUGCAUUAUUUGACGUUACCUACAGAAGAAGCACCGGCUAACUCCGUGCCAGCAGCCGCGGUAAUACGGAGGGUGCGAGCGUUAAUCGGAAUUACUGGGCGUAAAGCGCAUGCAGGCGGCCUGUUAAGUCAGAUGUGAAAGCCCGGGGCUUAACCUCGGAAUUGCAUUUGAAACUGGCAGGCUAGAGUCUUGUAGAGGGGGGUAGAAUUUCAGGUGUAGCGGUGAAAUGCGUAGAGAUCUGAAGGAAUACCAGUGGCGAAGGCGGCCCCCUGGACAAAGACUGACGCUCAGAUGCGAAAGCGUGGGGAGCAAACAGGAUUAGAUACCCUGGUAGGAUAGCG